GACGAACGCUGGCGGCGUGCUUAACACAUGCAAGUCGAACGGAAAGGCCAGUGCUUGCUCUGGUGCUCGAGUGGCGAACGGGUGAGUAACACGUUGGUGAUCUGCCUUGCACUCUGGGGUAAGCUUGGGAAACUGGGUCUAAUACCGGAUAUGAACUGCCUUUCGUGUGGUGGUUGGAUAGUUUUUUCGGUGUAAGAUUCGCUCGCGGCGUAUCGGCUUGUUGGUGGGGUAAUGGCCUACCAAGGCGUCGACGGGUAGCCGUCCUGAGAGGGUGUACGGCCACAAUGGGACUGAGAGACGGAGCAGACUCCUACGGGAGGCAGUAGGGGGGAACAUUGCACAAUGGGGGGAAGCCUGAUGCAGAGACGUCGGGUGGGGGAAGACGGCUUUCGGGUGGUAAACACCUUUCGACAGAGACGAAGCGGAAGUGACGGUACCUGUAUAAGAAGCACCGGCUAACUACGUG
Molecule: ribosomal RNA, 466 nt
Filed under: uncultured bacterium
Lineage: Bacteria
Description: partial 16S ribosomal RNA
Rfam family: Bacterial small subunit ribosomal RNA
Source: RNAcentral